GGUGGGGUACAGGGAGGGUGGGUCUCCCCUCUUCAAUUCCUCCUAUUGUUCCCCAGAAGUCUUAUCUGGGUUGUACGUCCUGUCCCCCCCCUUAGAGGUCCCUCCCCCCAUUGUCGGCCAAAGGGACCUCAGGCCCACAGGGAGGCUCCUGCUCCUCCUCACCCUCCCACCCCAGCAGCCUAUUGUCUGCUGAGGAAGCCCAAGUACACGUGACCAAGCCCAGGGGACAAAUGGACACAGUGGACACACCGAUGCCCACGGACCCAGGAUAGGGCAUCUGGACAUGGAUCUCGGCGUGUUUGGCUUUCUCUGUCCCAGGGGCUGUCCCAUAAGUAGGGAAGGGUGAAGGCCCCUGUGGGCUGUGCAUCUUGGGUCUGUGGCCUGAAGAAGAAUCCUUUCCUGCUCACGAUGGAUAUGCCUUAUGACCUCGCAGACCGCAAAAAGAAGGAGAUCCAAAGCUGAAAAGGGCCACAGCCCCCAGCCUCCUCUCCACCUUUCCAUUCUCCCUCAGCAGAACCUGGAGGCCUCAGAAGGAAAGUGCAUGCCCUAGCCAAGCCACCUCCUCUUGCCAGGCAUCUUAGAUGAUCCGAGACCAUCAGCCUCUCCCAGGGUUGAACUGGAGGAGGGACAGGUAAGAGUAGGGCAGUAGGAAGGGGCAGACAAAAGGCAGGUGGUGGUUAUAAGGAAAUAUGGGGGGAAGGGAAUUUAGGGAUCCCAGAACAAGAGGAGCCCUCCCCAUUCUAUAGCAGGGGCGCUCCAUUCCUCAUACCUGUGUGUCCAGGGGCAGGGGGGCUCUGGCCACCUCCCCUUUGGGCAACAGCAGCAGGGAGGGGAGAGAGCCAUUGAUGGGUGCUUGUGUGCUGACCUGGGCCCGGUCUCCAGGCCGGAUUCUCCCAGGACUCCCCACCCUAAGCCCUCCUGGCCGCCCCAGGCUGUUGGUCUGACUCUCCCUCCUCUGAUACUCAAUGGGUGACUGCAAUGCUGGGGCAAAGAGAGGAACAGAAGGAGAGUUACAACAGAGACAGGCCUUUUCCCUAAGAGCUCUGCCCAGACCACCCUCCCACUUUGCCCUCCUCCCAUGAACUGUCAAUCAGUAUAAAUUGCUGGGGAGAUGAAGAGAAGCUGGGGUCAGAGGGCAGGGAUUGGAGACUGGGCAGUGAGGGAGGGAUUCAGGAGGUCAAAGGGCCGAAGGAACAUGUAGGGGAGGGAGGGUGAGAGCUUCACCAUUGAGAAAGUUCCGCUGGCUUUCCAGGAUCUGAGCCACUUGCUUGAUCCAGGCCUGACUGACCGCAGGAUCUGCAGUCUGUAGGACAUAGCGCUGGAUCCCACCCUCUGGCCCUCUGGAGGUCAGUGCAAAGCGGCAAGGGUCACCUUGGAGGUUCCCCUCCAGUCCCAGGCAGCUCACCUGGAUUGGCAAAUAGGAGACAGCCCCCAAAUUCUUUAGGCCCUCUCCAGUUCCUGCCCCUUCCAACAAAUCCAAGAACCAGACAUUCUCUCAGAGGUCUCACCCUAUCCCAGGCAGACCCCUCCCUUGUGGCCUCCUCCCCACCUUGAUGCUGCUUUUGUACACAUAUCCAGCCUGCGUUCCACCUCGUACUCCUCCUCCCAGGGCCUCGCUGAAGAUGAUGAUUUGCUCAAAGAGGAAGACACGUCUCUCUCGACCCCGGGAGGAGAGCAGACCGCCAGCCUCAGGCUCUGUGACCCAGAAUGUGUCCUGGCCCAAGAGCUUCCCCUGAGCAGUCAGUUUGCCCUAGAACCAAAGGACGGUGGCUUUGAGAAAAAAGUGAGAAGAGAAAAGGGGCACUCUCUGUUCCUCCCUCCUUCCCCUGACGCUCCCAAUCAACCAUGGGGUCAGUCCCAGGGGAGGACAAUUCCCUAUUAGGACGUCCCAAGUACUCAGACUGGGGCAGAAGAGCAUUGGGCCUCCAGUUUCCUGUUCUAUCCCCAUACCUCAAACCCCCGAAGUCUCCCCAGGGUCAUCAUGUCAUUGCAGCGCUUGGGUACAAAGCACAUGACCUCCACAGCUUGCUGGGUCGCAGGUGAAGAGAGAAGCAUUGUCAUUGUCAAGGAAGAGACCUCUUCAGACCAUGUUUCACUUCUCAACCAGCCUCCCCGUAAAAGGGAGACAGCUCAAACCACCCAAGGAGCUGGGAGAACCCAGAAGACUAAAACAGUAAGAUCCUGGAAGGAUAAAAAAAAGUGUCCAGGAAGAUCUGGGAGUCCUCACCUCCAGCUCUUCAGUAUCCAUCCCAGCUCUACUGUAAUAUUUGAGAAAAUCCUAAAAUGUAGGAAAGAAACGCUCAGGGAGGUUUUGAGGACACCCUCAGAAACUCUCACAUCCUCCCCUUGAAGGCACAGGUGAGGAUGCCCAGGAAGUAUGGGGGGCGCCUUAGGAACUCUGAAGAGAUGAAUGAGAAAAGGGCUGUCCCAACUAGAGGUACCCCCAGGGAACAAGUGGUCCUGACCUUGAGCAACAGCUGGUAUUUCAUGAUCCUCUGCACUGGUUUGAUGAGGAGGUCAUUGAGCUGCAGGCGGUGCCCUAGCUGCUGCCGGAGCUCCUGGGGACAGGGACUGGGUGGUUAUGUAGCCUGGAAAGCCUGAUGAUUCUGUUCCCCUUUCCCCAAGGUGCCUCGGCCACUGACCUCAAAGUAGCUGUCCCCAAACUCUGACACCACGUGCUCGGACUUGGGCUUAUUCUGGCAGUACACCACGUACAUAUGCAGCCUGCGCUCCUAACAGGGGUAAAGUUUAAGGAGAGCCAGAUGGGUGCGGAGAGAAAGCCCCUCUCCAGAGAGCUGUGACCCACUCCCAAGCCCCUCCCCUCCAGGGCCCCACCCUCUUAGGCCUCACGUGUUUGAUGAAUAGCUGAGCCAGCCAAUCAGGAUCCUUCAAACACUGCUGCAGCUCCUGCAGGAAAUAGCUGGAAGGGUUGGCAGGGAAAAGGCUGGUCAAAUACCCCCACCCCACUCAACUUAGAGCUGUCUACCCUAGCUGUGCCAUUAAGCCACUCCAAACGUUCCUCAGGCAGCAGUGGGCCCAUGGGUGGGAUACAGAGACUACCAAACAUCUAUGCCCUUCACCCUCACUCUCAGGAAUCCAUCACUCACUCUCGAUGCCACUCAUAGAUUUGCUGGAUGUUCCCAAACACAAUCCUGUCACGGCCUCGAAGACUCUCUGGGACCCCCUGAGCGGCCAUGGUGGCCAUGUAACCCUGUAGGAAGGUUGGGGUGAGAGCGUGAGCGUCAGGGGCCAGCCCUGGUAGGAAAAACCCCUCCCCCCCAGAAGUCUAGGAUGUAGGGGGGUGCUGGGAAGGUGGGACAGAGGAGUAUCAAGGCAUCCCCUAAAAUUAGCCUUGGGCAGAGGGAAAGGGCUGGGCUAGAGCUGAGAAGAGAAAAGGGACCUACCUCCACAAUCUGCCCCAAGUCAUCCACAUACAUUUUCUCUGUCUCUACCAGUUCACUCAAGACAUACCUGGGAAGAGAGCAGGAGUGCACAUGGUUGAUUUAGCCACUUCCUCCCUACUGGACUAGAAGCUCCUUCAUUACCACAACCAACCUCAGAGGAAAUUCCAAGUAUCAAAUCUAAAAUGUGAGGGACAGUUCUCUGGAAGUUGCACAACUGGGGGGGCGGGGGGAGGGAGCAAAAGGGAGGGAGAGUGUGGGGACACUUACAUACUCCUUUCCAGAGCCUUCUUCUUCUGUUCCUCCUCACUCUCAGGGGCCUGGGAUAGGGUCUCCUCCUCAGGUGGCUGGAAGGAAAGAACAUCCUAGAGUAAGCAAAUGGAUGCCUUUUGGGGAGCUGUGCAGAUCCAUUUCUUCAUACCUGUGUCUUAUCUCCAGGGCCCUCCAACAAUGUGGUCAGCAGGGUCAGUUCUGGCAGCUCCUCUCCAGUGGCUAGAGCUGGUUCCAGCAUCCAGUUCUGGGAACCAGAGGUCAAGUGUCGGAGGUCAUGGACAGUAGCUACCUCUCCCCAAUGACCAGUGGCCCCCAACCUGCCCUCUCUCCCAGUGUCCUUCAUGGAUGUCAUACAUGCUUCUGUGGUGCUCCCUGCUCACCUCAUAUGGUCCAGCCUGGCCACCGUCUGCCUCAGUUUCCACACUGAGACAAUGUUUGGAAUGACCCAACCAUCUUCUCAGGCCACUGACUGGCCCUGGGGGGCCCGGGGAACAGGGGCCAGAGCUGAGGCCAGAGCUGGGGCCAGAGAGGGCAGCCAGACCCGAAGCAGCUGAAGCUGAGAUACUCCCCUCACUGCCAGCAAUGGAAUAGGAUUCUAAUGGGGAGUGGGGGGAGAAAAGGGGCCAUAGAUAUUACUCUAGCUCCAGAUGCAGGGCCCCUAGGGAGCUCCCAGAGGCUCUUCUUCAUGAUGCUGAGCCCCUCUCCCCCAGGGCCCACUCUCUUGCCAUCCUCAUUUGAGUUGGCAGGGAUAGAAAAUUUCACCUAGGCACCCUUGGAAGGAAGGACAGUAAACACCUGGGCUCCCAAGGCCUGGAAACCUCCGUUCCCCCAUAUCCUGAGCAUGGCAUAGAUAUGGGGGGGCAGCCAUCUGGGCAGACACUGGAAGUUGAGGGUGGCCAUCUGCUCUCCUACAAUCUGCCCCCUUCCAAUGGGCACAGACCAUUCCCUGAGAAGGUGGGGGGGGGCAGCUAAAAGCCCAUCAGCCACCCCCAGACUCCUCCUCCACCAGUUGCAGUAAUCACUAUAAAAAGAAAAGACUUCUGCAGCCCAUCUCCCCAACACAUGCACAAACCCAAUAGAGGGGGCAAGUGAGGAGAGCUCGUGAGGGCUAUCUGCCCUGGGCCCAGGAACAGAGGAGCUGUGCUUUGUCAUAAAGCCCCUGCUAGACCCCCAUCCUCAUUCCUCCAUUCCUCUGGCCCUUUUCAGAUCUGAAGUAGAUUCUCAGCAAAAGGAUUUAAGGAAGAUGCAGUUCUAGGCCCAAGGGGAUUGUGGAUGGGUUUUUCUCAUACCCAGUUGACUACAAAACAGAGAGCAGUCUCCUGCCCCUUCCCCAAUUUCCUUAACUUGAACUGAUAAAAAAUUUGGAGGCAGACGGGAUCUUGGAGAUCAUCUAUUAAGUCACUUUCCUGGAAAACACAGGUACAGGUCUCCAGCCUCUAAAUCCCUAGGGUCAGCGCAAUCCGAAGUCCUGAACCCUCGGCCCACCCCCCCCCACCCCCCGCCCCAACUCAACACUGGGCCAUUGCGACCUCCUAGAACUCACCACGUCCCCCCCGGGCGAAGCAGCAGCCGCAUUUUGCCAGCACUUUUCGGAUCACAUGGGGACAGGCACAGCGACCCCCCUUGUGCCCCCCCCGCAUGGCGCCCGGGCCCCCCCGCACCCCCCACCCGGGCCGGCCAUGCAGGGGGAAUCACGGGGGGCGGGGCGGGGACGGCGCCGGGCGCGCACCCCCCCUCCCUCCUACCCCGCUCCAGGCUGGGGGAGGGGGGGAGGGACGGAACAGGGAGGGGGAGUCCAGGGGUAGGCGGAAGUCUGGUCUGGAGGAGGGCUGGGGGCUCUGCAGAACGGGCGGCGCGAGGCCGGGCGGCCGAGCUGGGCGGGGAGUGUUUCCGGAACCCAGUCGGUGCGUGGCCCGGGGUCCAGAUGUCCAGCGGGGAGGGGAGGGAUGGUGGGGGAAGCUGGGCCGGGAUGCGGCAGCCUCUCCAGCUCUGUCUCCGGCCUCUCGGGUUUGGGAUGGUUCUAGGCCCGGGCAGGGAGAAGGCGGGGGCCGACUCCCCGAGUCACUGGCGCUGCGCGGGUCCGGGCCGAACGGCGAGCCGAAUAACAGGCCCGGCCGCGGUGCCGCCGCGGGGAGGGGCCUCUGCGGCCCAGCUCCGCCCUCUCCCUCCCGUUCCCCGCUCCAGCCCCAGCCUGUGCCGCGCUCCAGCCCCAAUCCCCCUCCCCCAGGCACCACCACGUUCCCACUCCACGUCCCCACAGCCUCCGCCUCUCCACUCCAGCCAGCCUCGGCUCCCCCGCCUCGGGUUCCCCUCCCUCCUGCCUCUCGGGCUCCCGACUGCGGUGCGCUGGGUGGGGGUUAAGCCGGGCGGCGGGGUCUGCCCAGGUCGCCCCUCAGCCUCUGCGGUGGAGAAGGGAGCGGACGGAUGGGCCUGGAUCUGUGCGAAGACGUCCUGGGUGUUGGGACGGUCCCAAGCCGCGCAGGGGUAGACAAGCCCCCUCCCCAACUUCGGGGAUGAGUGAAUGGGGAGCUCUGUGGGGAACACCGCCCAGGUGCCGCCCUCUCGCCAGACCCUUCUUUCCUCCAGGCCCCAGGACUCCAGCUGAGGCUAAUCACCAAUUAAGGCGAAGUCCUGGAGCCCGGGCUGGCGACGAGCCAGGGGUGGGGCGUGGGGACACUCCGCCUGCGGGGGCUCGGGACCAGCUGAUGUGGGGGACACACAGCGGACUAGAGGGCGAGAAGCCUGGAGGUCUUGGCAAUUAAAUGGGUCUCAUGCAGAUUAGAUGCGAACCUUUAUGCUAAUAAGCGCAGCAUUAUUUGAAUUCGCCACUGUGCGCAGGACCGCAAACUGUGCCCACCCACCCCCAGCUUCUUACCGGGCAGCGGAGCCCAGGCGGGAACCUCACGUUCGCGUUCCCCUUUCUGAUGCCCCUCGGUACAGUCAGACUGUGGCUCGGUCCCUCCUGGCCCUAGGGGGCUUCUCUUCGGGGGCUGUGUGGUAGUAAGGUAGUAAGAUUGGUAGUAAGGAAACCGCCCUCCACGCCCAGACUUGACCUCCCGCUUUCCCUUCUUCCUCCUGUCAAAUCCACAUUGUUGUAAAACGGUAGCCGAGGCUGGGUUGGAGGGAGCGGUUCACCCAGACCAGGGCUAUGGCCCUCUUUUGGAACUCUUAGAUUCCUGCAGAAUUCUGCCCUGCAGAAUUCCUGUUUGCAGGUAAAUUCAUUUGUGGGGUGCAGACCUCCUGAAACCGCCUAAAGAUACCCGACCCCACCGUGGUCCCACUUUCUUACCCCCGCCUGCCCGGGUAGGGCGCAUGCGCGCAGCAUGCCCCCCAUGACCCCCAGUAUCCGGUCAGUGCGGCCAGGGGCGGGGCGGUCCGGGGGCUUCAUGCUGGACCCCUACCCUGCUCCAAGUUUCAGGGCUGAGGGGGCACGGAAGCUGGGGGGCUCAAGGCCUGCGUGCGUCCGGGGAGUUGCUGCUGCCGAAUCCGCCCCCUGCCCGGCUCCGCCCCUACUCCCAUCCCAGCCAAACUUCUCAAAGGGGUAGGGUUGUUCCUUUCUCUACAACCAAAGUUCAACAACAAACAAACCCCUCUAAAUCCCGAUUCGGACAUGGAAGUGGCAGAAGCCCACUAAAUACCUUCUCCCCAAGCGCUCUGGAGACAGAGAGACUGGGGAGAUACACAGGGAUUUCCCCCGACCACCACCGCCUUCCCCUUCUCAGCAGGUUCCGCUCCCCACCCCACCCCCACCCUGGUCCACAGAACUGAACGGGUGUGGCAUGGAGAGUUGCAUAUUUUACUUUAUUUUUAUUAAAUUAAAAGCUACAGUCUGGCGGCGAUUCCAGAACAGGGUAAAGAGGCUCCUUAUAGGGGGCAGAGAAGAGCGGGAGACAGACUGACAGAGACGGAGACACAGGAGAGAAAAGACAAGGUUAAGGUAGAAGGGGGAUUAUUUCUGAAGAACACACAAGGCCGGCUCCUUGGGGGCUCACACCAGCCCCAUUCCCCCUCCCCCACACCUAAGUUCAGCAGUGGAGAAGUUUGUGGGGGCAGGGGGCUCAAGAGACCCUCCCUCCCCACCCAGGUCCUUUCUCAGCUUAGUCACUGGAGCACAGCACAUACCAGAAAAAGCCAAGGGCAAUGGAGGGGGUAGGGAGAUCGGGAGUAUGUACACAGGGAGGAGGGGAGCAGAGCCUUCUGCCAGAAGGGAGUGGCUCUCGCACUGCACUGAAGCACUUGGCCUGUGGGGGACAGGGGAAGGGAUUGCCCCCUCCCUCUCUGAACUCCUUCCCCAGUCAGACUGGUCCCCUAUUUGUGUGGCGUGGGGGGCAGAGGGAGAGAGGAGAACAGAGGCUUCCGCUGGGUCCUAUGGAGAAAGGCAAGGGCCUGGCAAAGGGGACGUCCUUCAGUCAUCUGUGAUACCCUUGGCUCUCAGCUCUUCUUGCACCCGGGUCAGGUACGUGGGGUCCGGGUACCCAAACCUGGGAGCAAAGAGAAAUGAAGGUCAGGAUUAGCUGUUUUAGCUUACUCGUAUUAGCCUCAUGCUCACCUUCAUUCUGGGUGCCCCAUUCCAGCCCCUUCCCGUCUCCCCUAAGGAUAUGCAAAUCUGAGAUAACUUAGCCCACUUCUGCUUAUUUUCAUAGGUGAAGCUGGGCAUAUUGGACCAGGUUUAAUGUAGAGAAACUGGGACGGAAAAGAUGGUUGAAUAGUUUGGGGGUGGUCCUCUCCAGUCGGGAGGUUCCCAGAGAGAGGGGGCCCGAUGUGGUUCCCUCACUGGAAAUGGAGAGAAGGGGAGGAGCCAAGGAAAAGAAAACGAAGGAGGGUCGCACAGCUGGGGUCCCCCUGUGCAGCUGGUCUUGUGGUGGAUGUCGUUCCAGGUGAUGACAUUCGGUCUCCCUGUGGUCAUGGACGUGCCAAUAGUGAAGGUGAGACGCUGGUCAAAUGCCUUGCGGAACAGGGUCAGCACCUUGUUGCCCUCAGGGCAGUCCGGGAGGUAGGCCACCCGUGUGGUGCCAGGAUACCGAACUCCUGGGUUCGGGUGUUCAGCCUGGGAGGAAGGGGAAGCAAAGUGGACAAUGAGCAGCUGGGCAUCUGAAGGCCCAUGAUGCCAGCAGAGGGUCAUCCUGGCCAGCUGUCUGUCUGGGGCCACCCCCAGCUAAUGCUGGCAAGGCAGCCACAGGCUGACAGCCUUUCAAGGAAGGAGAGACUUCCUUGACAGGUUUGGGGAGCAGAAGCCUGUCUUUGGACAAAACCCUUACUGUUAAAGAGGUUCUUUCUGCGGCCUCAAUCCCUCAAGUCUCAAUUCGGCAAUGAACGGAUUCCCAAAAGUGACGGAAAGUAGCUGGUCCUUACUCAACAGACAGCUCAGCAGAAACGUGAAGACUGACAAUAAUCUAUCUUGCAGCCUUCCCUUCUCCCACCUGAAAACACUCCCAGUGCUUCUUUGCCUGCCUAACCUGUUCCAUUUUCCCAUUACUCCUCUUCAGAGCUUCCUCAUCCCUCUGCCAACCAGGACCGGCAAUCACUCUUGGUCAAGCAGGAAAACAGCCAUAGGCUCUUGACCACUCCUGUUUUAACCUUCCACUGUCAUCAAGAUUUUCCUCCCUUGUCAAUCUGGAACACAGUAACGCUCUUGCUCUGUGAGGAGGGUCAGAUCCCUUCGGGCUGUGCCUGCCUACACGUGAGCCACCAUCUCCACGGAAUUCACCUCUGCCAGGAAUAGCUGAUGACGUCCAAGGUCAUCAAGGAAACGGUAUUCAAUUCCUUUCUCCCAUACCUGAUUUUCAUGUGUGCCAUGGAGUCGUGGAACGGAAAAGCUGGGCCUCAAGGGGGACCUCCCAGCUCCAGGGCACUGAGUGGGAAGGCAUGCUGGGAGACGGCAAGACUACAUCACAUCUAACGAACACACUCCCCCUCACCCAGUUUUCCUAGGCCAGAGAACAUGCUUGGGGCACACCAAAGGAGCUCGGGCUAAACCAAAGGGCAAAGGCAGGCCAUAGGUCUUCUUACCCCCUGGACACCGGGCGGGAAGACGUACUGGAUGACGAUGGUGCCGUACUUCUCAUAGCUUGGCAGCAGGAGUGUGGCGUCCUUAGAGACCAGCAUCCGCCCAUUCUGGGGCUGGUUGCCCACCAGCUGCCCAUAGAAGCGGCCACACAUGGGACAGGCCUUUUUCACCUGCAGGGCUCGGGUGAUGCAGCCCUCACAGAAUGAGUGCCGGCACUUCUCCAAUGUCUUGGCAUUCUGAAUCUCCCCCAGACAGAUGGGGCAGGUGCUCUCCUGCUCUUCUGUCUCCUCCCGAAGGCGGGGAGGAAGAGGAGGGGGUAGGGGAGGAGGAGGCGGGGGAAGCCCCCGAGCCCCUGGGGGCAGGAGCGGGGCUGCUCGCAGAGGGGGAGGGGGAGGCCCUGGGCGGUGCAGCUCAGGGUGUUCCCCACCACCCCCCAAAGCUAGGCAGCCCAUAAGCUCUCCCUGCCUCUGAGCUUUCUUCAGCUCUUUCUCGGCCUCUUUCAGCAGCCCCUUGAGAGCCUUCCGGGCCAGGUAGAGCCCAUUAGGAGGAGCAGGGGGAGGGCCCUGCGGGGAAAGCUGGAGGACAUAGAUGUCAGAAGUCUCGCCGUCUAUGAGGAUGGACACACGGUGCUCCUCCCGAAGCCGGGCCAGCCGGGCUGGGGUCUCCUUGCUCAGGAAGUCCCACACAGGCUUAGAGACAGUCACCUUGUUCUUGCAGGUGCCUCCACAGGCUGCCAUUCUGGACAGGACGAACGACACUGCCCCCAGGGUGAAAGGGACUCAGGGUGGGGGGUCCCUAUUUGACAAAGUCAGUGCCUCCUACUUCAGGUUCCUUUCCAACCCUAUAUUACCUCUACUGUCUCAAAGGCCAACCCCAACUCCUCCCCCAAGUUCAUUUUCUGUCUCCUCCUAUCUUUCAAACCCCCAGCACCCACUGAAGAGCAAAACAAGUUUUAAUAACUUUAUUAUUAUCAUCAUCUGAGCCAAGCAUCAGUCUUGGUUCUCUUUACACUCCUCCCAAGAUCACAGAAAUCAUCUAGCCCUCCUCCCUCUGGGUGAAAACUGGGUUCUUUAAAGGGGAGGGAGACUUUUUGACCCUCCUUUUUGCUCACUUUGAUCCUGAAGAGCUUAGAAUUGGCAUGCAGGCUCUCUCUCUCUGUCCCUGCUCCCUACUUGUAGGUUGUGUGACCUGGUAGGUGGAAAGGAAAAGGAGGGAAAGUGAGAAGCCCCCUACCCCCUUCCCACAUGCCCCAACCCAGCAGCCCAUGUAACAGAAGACUGGGAACCUGGGUAUAAGUUACUGGGAAUGGGAUUACUUGGCACAUGGAAUGGAGGAAACCAACUUACAGGUGAAAGCUGAAGUUCCCAAAGGAGGCACAUACCUGGAAAGCCCAUGGACGAUGAAAGCAGCAGAAAUUCCUCUUUUUCCACACUCAGCUGACCAGGUCUAGGGGGAAGGGGGACAGUAAAGGGAUAUGAUGACCAAUGUCACUCCACCAGCAGCCCAGAAACAAAUCAGAAACUCCUCUUCCAUUUCUUCUCCUUCUUUCCUGCAGAAUCCCAUCCCCAGCCUCUCCCCAAGUUGCUAAAGAUGGAACUUCAACAAUGCUAACUUUCCUCUUUUCUCCUCCAGCUCUGAGGCUCUGGAGAAAGCCUAGGGCACAGAUAAGAGAAGUCAGGAAGGGUGAAAGCCCACACAGAUGGAGGACUUUCCUGCCACCUCCCUCAGAUCACAUGGAUAAGAAGAUUUCCUAGGCUCCCAACUCCUUACCGUGCCCCAUAUUCCCAAGUAAUUCAGCCCCUAUCGCUAGGGAGACUUCUUUGAGGAGAAGUCCGUUUGGAAUGCAAACAAAGUGGCAAGAACCCCUGCAAUAACGAAGUUCUUACUGUCACCUUUUAAACCCAGCACUAGAGCAUAAGCCUGUCAGCAACCCAGUCUGCAUUUAGGGAGGGGUGGGGAACAGCAGGGGCUCAGCUGGAGGAGCCUGCUGUUUCCCCUGAGUCUUAACCAUGUUCAGCUACAGAGGUGUACCUACAACACCUCCACAUGUAGCUCAAAUAGAAAGAGGGGCCAUUAGUGUGACCUCAAUUCCUAGACUGAUCCAAAGGGGAGCGGCUCUGUUUGUGCCUCCAUCAUAGUCCCCUCAAAGCCAUUUGCACCUCCAGGUUCAGAAAGUGAAAUUGAAAUCCUAGAACCUCAGCUCCUUCGGUCUGUCCAAGGUGGAACACCCCCCUCGCCAUCAGAGGGAACCCAGGACCUAGAUGUCCUUAGCUCCAAGUCCUGCUGGCACAGAAAAGGGAGGCGGGGCCACAGCUUAUGCUGGGUCUCCGAUUCCUCUGGGGCAACCCAGGCCGGACACAGGGCCAGUCCCUCCCUCCAGACAGAGGCCAGACAGGGGCAGCCGGGAGGGGCGAGGGUCCCUGGGGGCAUCAACUGAGGCAGCCCCACCCCUCCCCCCAUGACCUCCUGCAAGACCCAGAACCAGCCCCCACGUCCCCCUCUCGCCGGAGCCCCCAGAGCCCCAGCACUGGGUGGGGGUGCAUGUCGGCCCGAUCGCAGUCCUCAGAACCCCCAAAUGGAGGCCAAGGCUGGAGGGUGAUAGGAAGAGGAUCGGCCAGGCGUGGAGGGGGCCCCUGGAGCCGCGCGCGGGUUGUUACCUUCUGUGACCCCCACAACCUGCUCCCAGAUGGGUGUUGGUAAGUGCCUCUGAUUUUUGUUUCCACAAACAGGGAUACUGAGGCCAGUGCCGAAUGGGAGGUGAAUACAUUUUUCUUUUUAAUGCCUUGCGGGGGGGUGGGGGGGAUGUCAAGUCUAUGGUUUAAAUAGAGUUAAAAACUCUCAAAGAAAAAAACAGCUCUGUUCUGUUCUGCUUCCCACAUCAGAGCAAUCUCCGCCCCCAGUCCAACUCACUUCCCUGGGGCCACAUCAAGCCAGGUUUUUCCACCAGCCAAAAGACCUCAUCAGCCAAACAGUGCUGGAUCUCCCAGACUGGCAACAACCUCUGUUUAUCCACCCCUUUCUUCACUCCCCCUCUGGGCUGGAGGGUUGGUCACUUUUUUCUUUCCCAGGACCCUGCUGUCCUCUUCCUGCUCUGCAGAGAGGAUAUCUUUCCCAGGAAGCCUGGGGGACACCCAGUGCCUUCUUUUAGCUCCUUCAUGCAUGCUUUGAGAGGUUCACUCACCUUUACAAGAAUGGGUGUGUGAUCAAGCCCAGAACCCUGGGGGAAGAGGGGCAGUCACAUCAUCUGUUCUCCCUGCCCCAACCCAUAGCUGAACUCCCACAAAGCUGGAGAGUAAGUUUUUCAUUCCCAUGCACACCCCUCACAACCUUUUAAGUUCACAGCUAUCUAUCUAGAAAGCCACAUUCUUAGUUAGGAGCCCAACACCUUAAAGAUCAAUUCUUCAUCUGGUCUCCACACCCCUAAGCACAGUGUUCCUCAGGAAAGUGGGGGAGGGGAGGCAUGCCUAUGAAGGAAUACGGCUUCAAUAAGUUACUUCCUAUACAAUGACAGCAAUGGGAGUAAAUACACAAGAUGUUUUUUUAUUAAUUAAUAAAACAAAAAAGAUGAAAAACAGAAGCAACAAAUGAAGACCAUACUGCUCAUGAUACAUCAGCCACAUGGUCAGAAAACCAAUUUCUAAAGAGCAACAGCUGCUGGUGUCACAGAGUUUUAUUGCAUUCAACAGGGGAAAAAGGUAGACGGUUGGAAUGAGAGAGAUCAUCAGGCCCC
This is a long non-coding RNA of Acinonyx jubatus (cheetah), 13411 nucleotides long. RefSeq lists it as uncharacterized. The record is from RefSeq and is a predicted model, not a curated record. The transcript has 3 exons. Lineage: Eukaryota; Metazoa; Chordata; Mammalia; Carnivora; Felidae.